RNAcentral lists this long non-coding RNA (391 nucleotides) under Spirodela polyrhiza (greater duckweed). RNAcentral describes it as "long non-coding RNA (SPOL_LNC002173)". The record is from RNAcentral. Lineage: Eukaryota; Viridiplantae; Streptophyta; Magnoliopsida; Alismatales; Araceae.
GAUAAAGGAAUAUAAAUGGAAGAAUCCCCGACAACUGCGAUCACGGCCCUGCUCAUCUGUCUCCACGACCUUUAUGCCCAGACCGUGGGAUCACGUCCAAUCAGGCCACAAACUUCUCUCUCUCUCUCUCUCUCUCGCUUACCCGACGGAGCUCUUCAUCCUGUUCGCUGCCGCUGCUAGCAUGCGACCCGGCCAUUCCCACACUAGCGGAGGCCAGACCUGGCCACUUUCCACUUGCUGGCCGACGCGAUGCGGAGAGCUGAAGCUCCAGGCGUGCACUGGCGAGGUCAUCCUCUUCUUCCUCAACGGCGAGUCCAACGUCGAACCGGUCUAAUGUCUCAGCUCCUCGUCUCUCCACUGACCAACCAUUUAUUGCUCUCUCCGCCGCCGG